GGCAAGAUGGCCGAGUGGUUAAGGCGUCAGACUUGAAAUCUGAUCCUUCGGGGUCCUGGGUUCAAAUCCCAGUCUUGUCG
This 80-nucleotide transfer RNA is filed under the name Aspergillus rambellii. It matches the Rfam family "tRNA". Rfam says of the family: Transfer RNA (tRNA) molecules are approximately 80 nucleotides in length. Their secondary structure includes four short double-helical elements and three loops (D, anti-codon, and T loops). The record is from Rfam by way of RNAcentral. Lineage: Eukaryota; Fungi; Ascomycota; Eurotiomycetes; Eurotiales; Aspergillaceae.